This 234-nucleotide long non-coding RNA is filed under the name Elaeis guineensis (African oil palm). RNAcentral describes it as "long non-coding RNA (EGUI_LNC053167)". Lineage: Eukaryota; Viridiplantae; Streptophyta; Magnoliopsida; Arecales; Arecaceae. The record is from RNAcentral.
GCAUGGGUAGUGAUACAUCGCUAUCCGAUGAUCGUGAAGUUGAGGUUUCGCAUUAAGCUGCACAUGUAUCUGAUCUCUAUGGAUAUCCACUUGAACUUGGACUAGGAUGCUUUCUUCGACUUCAAUCUAUUUUCAUCAAGAUGGAUCAGCAAGCUCCUAGAUUCGCCUUCAAUCUAAUCUUCGAUAGGAUCUCGAUUAACUCUUGAUUGCAGCCUUCUUUUUCCUUCGUAUAGA